GGUGCGUAACGCGUAUCAAACCUGCCUCAUACUCGGGGAUAGCCUUGCGAAAGUAAGAUUAAUACCCGAUGUUGUUGCUUUCUCGCAUGGGAGAGUAACCAAAGAUUUAUCGGUAUGAGAUGGUGAUGCGUCCGAUUAGGUAGUAGGCGGGGUAACGGCCCACCUAGCCUUCGAUCGGUAGGGGUUCUGAGAGGAAGGUCCCCCACACUGGAACUGAGACACGGUCCAGACUCCUACGGGAGGCAGCAGUGAGGAAUAUUGGUCAAUGGGCGAGAGCCUGAACCAGCCAAGUAGCGUGCAGGAUGACGGCCCUCCGGGUUGUAAACUGCUUUUAGUUGGGAAUAAAAAAAGGGACUUGUCCCUUCUUGUAUGUACCUUCAGAAAAAGGACCGGCUAAUUCCGUGCCAGCAGCCGCGGUAAUACGGAAGGUCCAGGCGUUAUCCGGAUUUAUUGGGUUUAAAGGGAGCGUAGGCGGAUUGUUAAGUCAGCGGUUAAAGGGUGUGGCUCAACCAUGCAUUGCCGUUGAAACUGGCGAUCUUGAGUGCAGACAGGGAUGCCGGAAUUCGUGGUGUAGCGGUGAAAUGCUUAGAUAUCACGAAGAACUCCGAUCGCGAAGGCAGGUGUCCGGGCUGCAACUGACGCUGGGGCUCGAAAGUGUGGGUAUCAAACAGGAUUAG
Molecule: ribosomal RNA, 677 nt
Filed under: uncultured Prevotellaceae bacterium
Lineage: Bacteria; Pseudomonadati; Bacteroidota; Bacteroidia; Bacteroidales; Prevotellaceae
Description: bacterial SSU rRNA
Rfam family: Bacterial small subunit ribosomal RNA
Source: RNAcentral